RNAcentral lists this transfer RNA (66 nucleotides) under Priapichthys annectens. RNAcentral describes it as "tRNA-Tyr". It matches the Rfam family "tRNA". From Rfam's summary of the family: Transfer RNA (tRNA) molecules are approximately 80 nucleotides in length. Their secondary structure includes four short double-helical elements and three loops (D, anti-codon, and T loops). Lineage: Eukaryota; Metazoa; Chordata; Actinopteri; Cyprinodontiformes; Poeciliidae. The record is from RNAcentral.
CAAGAUGGCUGAGUAUUAAGUGGUGGAUUGUAGCCCCAUGGACGGGGGUUUAAUCCCCCCUCUUGU